Molecule: long non-coding RNA, 401 nt
Organism: Arabidopsis thaliana (thale cress)
Lineage: Eukaryota; Viridiplantae; Streptophyta; Magnoliopsida; Brassicales; Brassicaceae
Product: other RNA
Exons: 1
Source: RefSeq
AUCUAUUUCCACCACCGAAACCAGUUUUGAUUUACAAAUAAUAAUAUUUCUCUCAUUUUAUUUAAUCAUAUAAAACUCUCAGUGUUUAUUUCGACCCCCGAAAAUCUUUAUCUCUUACCUUGAAUUGUGUUAGAUAUAUAUAUAUACUAAUAGUGGAAUCAUUUUUCAAAAUGUGAAAACGAAAAAACUUGAUGAAGUUUAUGCAGGUCAUUGUCAUGCUAUUGAGUACAUGCUCAUCCAGAGUUCCAUAUAUAGAACCUUGAAGGUCCCUAAUCCUUGAGUCACAUCCUAAAGGCUUUCCUUAGCCUAUCCAACCUGAAGUGAUCUCCCAACCAUUUAGGAAUUUGAUCUCGUUUGCUCUCUAAAGCUUUAACUACUCUUCCGACGUAUUCUCCAAAACA